This is a long non-coding RNA of Cataglyphis hispanica, 347 nucleotides long. RefSeq lists it as uncharacterized. The record is from RefSeq and is a predicted model, not a curated record. The transcript is spliced from 2 exons. NCBI's taxonomy places the organism in Eukaryota, Metazoa, Arthropoda, Insecta, Hymenoptera, Formicidae.
CAGGGAAGACAGUAGUGUUUCGAGUCUGGAUACCCCUAACGUGCUCGAUGGUUCUAACGUGUUUAGACCAUUCUCUCGAAAUGCCUCGAUUACGUUCCAUAUGUCGACGUUGUGCACUGCGUACAAUUAUACAUCAAUCAUUACAAAGCUUGCAGGCAGUACGAUAUGACGCAAAUCGAAUAGUAUCAAAGUUCUGCUGUCGCAUCUCUUGUAGAAGCUGCAAACGACUCGUUUCGCCGCUACUCCCGUUUCCCGAUCCACCCGCGCCUUCUUCUGCCAUUUUUACUACGAAAAAUGAACGAAUAAUGUAUUUAUGUAUUAAUUAAUGUAUUUCUACGUUAAAUCUU